This 21-nucleotide non-coding RNA is filed under the name Caenorhabditis elegans. The record is from RNAcentral. Lineage: Eukaryota; Metazoa; Nematoda; Chromadorea; Rhabditida; Rhabditidae.
UCGAUUUCGACAUUUUCCUCU